Molecule: ribosomal RNA, 249 nt
Filed under: Escherichia coli
Lineage: Bacteria; Pseudomonadati; Pseudomonadota; Gammaproteobacteria; Enterobacterales; Enterobacteriaceae
Description: partial 23S ribosomal RNA
Rfam family: Bacterial large subunit ribosomal RNA
Source: RNAcentral
CGUGAACCUUUACUAUAGCUUGACACUGAACAUUGAGCCUUGAUGUGUAGGAUAGGUGGGAGGCUUUGAAGUGUGGACGCCAGUCUGCAUGGAGCCGACCUUGAAAUACCACCCUUUAAUGUUUGAUGUUCUAACGUGGGCCCCUAAUCGGGGUUGCGGACAGUGUCUGGUGGGUAGUUUGACUGGGGCGGUCUCCUCCUAAAGAGUAACGGAGGAGCACGAAGGUUGGCUAAUCCUGGUCGGACAUCA